UGGGGAAUUUUGGACAAUGGGGGCAACCCUGAUCCAGCCAUUCCGCGUGAGUGAAGAAGGCCUUCGGGUUGUAAAGCUCUUUCGCAAGGGAAGAAACGAUACAGUCUAAUAAACUGUGUUAAUGACGGUACCUUGAUAAGAAGCACCGGCUAACUACGUG
RNAcentral lists this ribosomal RNA (160 nucleotides) under uncultured Methylophilus sp. Its description in RNAcentral is "partial 16S ribosomal RNA". It matches the Rfam family "Bacterial small subunit ribosomal RNA", at positions 355 to 507 of the family's 1533-position model. Lineage: Bacteria; Pseudomonadati; Pseudomonadota; Betaproteobacteria; Nitrosomonadales; Methylophilaceae. The record is from RNAcentral.